GACCGACGCGGAUUACGGU
RNAcentral lists this small nuclear RNA (19 nucleotides) under Arabidopsis thaliana (thale cress). RNAcentral describes it as "snRNA_17917". Lineage: Eukaryota; Viridiplantae; Streptophyta; Magnoliopsida; Brassicales; Brassicaceae. The record is from RNAcentral.